Molecule: long non-coding RNA, 2755 nt
Filed under: Podarcis lilfordi (Lilford's wall lizard)
Lineage: Eukaryota; Metazoa; Chordata; Lepidosauria; Squamata; Lacertidae
Source: RNAcentral
CAAAGCUUCAGUGAAUCACACCAGAUGUGGUGAGCCACAAGACCAAGUGAAAAAGGUUGCUAGAAGGGAAGCACUAUUCAAUGAUACAUCUAUGUCUCUGGAAAGAUGAACUGUAACAGACGGUUAUGGUUCAGGGUUUAAUGAAUAUGGAAACAAAUUACAAGGGAUUCAAAUGAAGAUUUCAAGUGGGAAUCAAGCUGUAGUUUUGCAAUGCAGCUAAGUAACAAGGACUAUAAGAGCAAUAUUAAGUAACAAGGACUAUAAGAGCAAUAUGCCAUCAUUUGCCAUAAGCCCAAACAGCCAAGCUAAAGAGUUAUUUAAUUUACCCGGGGGGAGGGGGAGUUUCUUACCAGUCCUAUGAGUUGUCUCCCACCAAGCCACACAGAAUAGAACCACAGAUAUCAAUGGACAUAACUAAUUCCAGGGUGUAUCUAUUCCAGUAGGAAAUUCUGAAGUGCAGAACUCUUAAAGACAUGGCCCAUGGCCAUUUCCCGAUAUUCAUAUACCUUCUAAGGCUAUACAACAGAAACAAACCUUUUACCACGGUAGAUGAUAUGGCUUCAAUACCAAGCCAGCUUUCCCCCCUUCUCUCUCCCCACCUCCCCUUUACUUACCAUUGAGCUGAUGAAGAGCUCUGGUACACUCAAAAGCUUGCUCACAAUAUCGUGACGUUUUGGUUGUUCGUCUUCAAAAUAUUUUAUUUUUAUCUUAUUUUACCUUAUCCUCAGGCCAGCCACUUGUCUCUCAGCCUAAUCUACCACACAGGGCUAUUGUGAGGAUAAAUGGAGAGGAGAAGAAUCAUGUCACCUUGAUUACCUUGGAAAAAAGGUGGGAAGUAAUAAUAAUAAUAAUAAUAAUAAUAAUAAACUUGGGGAAAGAUUACAUGGAAGGAUUGCACGAAAUUUCAUUCAACCCUUAAUCUCUUUACUAUUUGUUUAAGAAAUCUGCACUAUUAAGACUAAACUACCCCAGAUUUCUUGAGAGUCCCAUGGGCUGCAAGAAGAUCAAACCUAUCCAUUCUUAAGGAAAUCAUCCCUGAGUGCUCACUGGAAGGACAGUUCCUGAAGCUGAGGCUCCAAUACUUUGGCCACCUCAUAAGAAGAGAAGACUUCCUGGAAAGGAGCCUGAUGUUGGGAAAGAUGGAGGGCACAACGAGAAGAGGACGACAGAGAAUGAGAUGGUUGGACAGUGUUCUCGAAGCUACAAACAUGAGUCUGACCAAACUGUGGGAGGCAGUGGAAGACAGGAGUGCCUGGCGUGCUCUGGUCCAUGGGGUCAUGAAGAGUCGGACACGACUAAACAACAACUCCAGAUUUCAGCCAUAUACAAAUAAAGCACAAUGCUAGGUUUCUUUGCAAAAGGACAAGUAAUUUACAGAUUUCUAAACUACAGGCCUAAGCAAAGCUUUGGUCAACAGCCACAUGUGACCCUGCAGGGCUAAUGGCAGUCUCCAAGGGCAGUGUGAACCAACUAAAUGCUGUUUAAUCAUUCCAUUCCUUUCAGCUUCUAUAAACCUUUCACAGGAUUGGAUAUAUUUCUACACCCCAUACAUACCUCCAGCAUCACCACCUUUCAAGAACAGUACAAAAAGCUGCAUAUUCCAAUUCCUGCCUCUAGCAAGAUUUAUAAAAUUCAUAACCCAAAAAAGGGAAUUGCCACUUGGCUGGUCAAUCACUUUCACAGGAGCCCAGGGACUUUCUGGAAACUGGUCCUUGCCCAGGGGGACGAAACCAAGAUAACACUGGGGAAACAGAUAACUUAUCAACUCUUAUCGCUAAUCAAUCACCUUGAUCAAUCUGGGCAGCUAGUGCGUCAGCUUUUAGUAUUCGUGUAAUUUAAACCUUGGCUAUUGGAGCAAGGAAACCCUACGAUCAAGCCCAGCUGUCCUCAAAACCGGCCAACAAAAUAUUCUCCCUUUGGCAUUUAGAGUGAUAAAGAGACCACUGGACAUGUUAAAUAGCAUAAGAAUCUGGUACCGGACAGCAGGAAUUAAGAGCAGAUUGCCAUCAGAUCACUGUCAAGACUUGCCUCCCAGCAGGAAAUGAAUUAUUUAAAGCUCCAUGCAUUCUCAUCUGGGAGGAAGCCGCAAUGAAUCCACUAGGACUUGCUUCCAAGUAAAUAUGGUGUUCUGCUUAAAUCUGCCCAAGGACACAGUGGAGAUGACAGGUUUCACAUAAUAUUCUUAGCAUUUCUUCAUAAUUUAAAUUCGGUUUGCACAUUUGGUUGACAGUGAUUCUAUUGCAGUUAAGUUUCUCUCCUGAGCUUCCCUCAUCCACCAUAGUGACACAGAUGUGAGCAGACAGGAUCGAAGCUUGAAAAGCAGUUUUAAAUCUUGCAUUAUUCAAAGUAUGUCAACUGCUUAGUGAAACUAGUUAAUUAUUGAAACUCCUUUGGAUAGCUAGUUACUGCUUGGGGCCAGGAGAACAAUUACAUUCUAUCUGCAGCAGACAUAGUUUCUUUUAAGUGAGUUGCAAGGUCAAAUAUCUAAGAUUAUUCGAGAAGGCAGAUACACCAUUUCAAAGUGUCUUUUGUCUGCAAAACCCUCUAUGAAUCAAAGAGAGAAGGUUAAUUACUUUGUUUUUCAGGAAAGCUGCAGUUCCAUCAUGAAUGGCAUAACAUAGCAGAGAACUCUCCCUCUCUCUUUACUUCUUCGAAAGAAUGGAGUUUCCAUUUAUUUUUUAAAAAAUAAAAACCCUGUCAUUUAAACUGUUUGACCUUCACCAUUUUACAAAACCAUAUGAGCAGGAACCCCACC